This 69-nucleotide transfer RNA is filed under the name Ictidomys tridecemlineatus (thirteen-lined ground squirrel). RNAcentral describes it as "Spermophilus tridecemlineatus (thirteen-lined ground squirrel) tRNA". It matches the Rfam family "tRNA". Rfam says of the family: Transfer RNA (tRNA) molecules are approximately 80 nucleotides in length. Their secondary structure includes four short double-helical elements and three loops (D, anti-codon, and T loops). Further hydrogen bonds mediate the characteristic L-shaped molecular structure. tRNAs have two regions of fundamental functional importance: the anti-codon, which is responsible for specific mRNA codon recognition, and the 3' end, to which the tRNAs corresponding amino acid is attached (by aminoacyl-tRNA synthetases). tRNAs cope with the degeneracy of the genetic code in two manners: having more than one tRNA (with a specific anti-codon) for a particular amino acid; and 'wobble' base-pairing, i.e. permitting non-standard base-pairing at the 3rd anti-codon position. Lineage: Eukaryota; Metazoa; Chordata; Mammalia; Rodentia; Sciuridae. The record is from Rfam by way of RNAcentral.
GGGAUUGUGGCUCAGUGGUAGAGCACUUGCCUACCAUGCAUGAGGCACUGGGUUCAAUCCCCAGCACCA